Molecule: long non-coding RNA, 1571 nt
Filed under: Brassica rapa (field mustard)
Lineage: Eukaryota; Viridiplantae; Streptophyta; Magnoliopsida; Brassicales; Brassicaceae
Description: long non-coding RNA (BRAP_LNC007289)
Source: RNAcentral
AAAAGUACACGGGAAGAAGUGUUGUGAUGUUGCAUUGCAUCUAAUGGCAUUUUCCCGUUAGAAUGUCUAGCAUAUCAUUUUCCAUUUCCUUUCAUAAGAGACUUGAUUUAAUCAGAUUUGCUCACUUCUAAAAAUAAAGCACAUAAUGUAACCCUCACGAGUUGUUUCAUAUUGCAUUAUACUGGUCGAAGGUGAGAAUCAAUGCUUCUUAUAUUCUGUGACUAAAAGUAUUGCCACAUAUGGAAACUCGUACGCUCUUCUGGAUCCUUGGCCUAAACACAAACCGUUGCUACGUUUUCCUAUAAUAUUAAUGUUUUGAUUUGAUAGUUCAACAUAUGUAACAAAACUACAUGGUUAAUUAGGUGCAAUAAUUUUUUUUCCCCCAUGUUUUUGUCCCAAAAACACUUUUCGGAUCAUUACCGUUUUCUGAUAUCUUGUAGGGCAUAUUUUAGAUAUGGGUUCAAUCAAAAGCUGUCCUUUUGAAUGCAACAAGACGGACCCGUCAUACUCAUUCGCGUUGGCAUCUGUUAAGUGGAGUCUACGGUAUGUGAAUCACAACUCUUUGAGUUCAUUGAUAACGAUAUAUACAUAUAUAUUGGAGAGAGAUUUUUUUAUUCCUUUGGUUUGCCAAAAAAGACACCAUAAAAGUAGAAAGCUUGAGAAACUUUGCUUUGCUUUAGCUUCUUGAUUAUGUUCUUUACUCGAAACUACAAAGUUAAGAGAAUAGUCACGUCAGGGGCAGAUGAAAAAGCUCUAUCACAAACUCUACAUUUGUGUUCUAUGAUGGACCACUCCACUCUCUUUGUUUCUCUCUCUACACCAUUUUGUCUUGUACAUUGUCUUCACUUACCCAUACGCACCAAAUCAUCAUCUGAGCUUAUUUCCAUCUUGAGCUAUAUUAUUCUUUGUUAAAAUCUUGAGUUUUUUUUUACCAUUGUAUGGAGAUGAGUCAACUAAAAAAUUUCUAUUCAUCAAGAUGUGUUUUUAUGAUCCUAUUUUGAAAAUUUCUAUUUGAGUCGCUGAGUGAUAUUAAUUGAAUAUUCAUUACUAUGUCCGACUGACCAUUUGUCUGGAAAUUUGUCUGAAUUUUGUCCGAAACAAUUAUGUUAAUUGGAAGCUGAAUCUUCAAAGACAUAUAAUAGCAUGUGGACACGUGAAAUGAUAAAAUUCGUUUCUAUCAUUUACGCACGCUUGGAAAAAAAAACAUAUAAUUGAGUUCUUAUUAUAUAUGAGUGAUGAGCAUCAGAAACAUCAUCAAAUGUUAACGAAAUAAAUUACGUUAACGUACGUAAGAUCCACACAUCGUACAUUUUCUCAUUCACAUACCUACCAGUUUUUCUUUCUCUAAAAGUUCAUAACAUUCUUAAAUUUUACUAAAUGAACUGGUUAAAACAUGUGUGGAAUAGAUAUUAUAGUUUUUUUUUCUGUGACGUUAAAGAUUAAGAUCAAGACUCACAUGAUCUUGCACAUUAGGACUCAAACCGUACCGGUAUGAAGACAUGCGGUUCUGAGCUGCGGAGCCACCCACUUGUAACGGUGGAUGCGGCUGAGAACCAGCCAAGGAUGAUAAA